Molecule: ribosomal RNA, 494 nt
Filed under: uncultured bacterium
Lineage: Bacteria
Description: bacterial SSU rRNA
Rfam family: Bacterial small subunit ribosomal RNA
Source: RNAcentral
AAAUGAAUAGACGGGGGCCCGCACAAGCGGUGGAGCAUGUGGCUUAAUUCGAUGCAACGCGAAGAACCUUACCCAGGCUUGACAUGGAUGGGACCGGCAGUGAAAGCUGCCUUCUCUUCGGAGCCGAUUCACAGGUGCUGCAUGGCUGUCGUCAGCUCGUGUCGUGAGAUGUUCGGUUAAGUCCGGCAACGAGCGCAACCCUCGUCCUUAGUUGCCAGCGGGUAAAGCCGGGGACUCUAAGGAGACAAGCUGUUUUUAACAGCGGGAAGGUGGGGAUGACGUCAAGUCAGUAUGGCCCUUACGUCUGGGGCUGCACACGUGCUACAAUGCCCGGUACAAUGAGAUGCGAAAUCGCGAGGUGGAGCAAAUCUUUAAAACCGGGCCCAGUUCGGAUUGGAGUCUGCAACUCGACUCCAUGAAGCCGGAAUCGCUAGUAACGGCGUAUCAGCAACGACGCCGUGAAUACGUUCCCGGGCCUUGCACACACCGCCCGU